UCCCUCCCGAAAAAGAACAAAGCUCCCCCUCAGUGCGCGCGUCCCGUCGAGGACGAGCACGUAGUACGGAGGCAUGAAUGGACAAACUUACGCCGGUGCGGCUGCGCUCGGCACGAACCGCUGCCAUUCGGCGUUUUUGGCGCAGCCGGCAGGUUGUACGGCUACCCCGGUUGCUGCUGCUUACUUUUACCGGCAGGUUGCUACCGACGCCCCGUUUAGAGGCAGUGUAACGGUCGCUGCUGACAGAAAGAAGCUGCAGGAAGAGGUCUCACUCUGUCCGUAAUACCUGCUGAGAUCAACACUGUCACACCCAUGGCUGCAAGUGGAUAUAUUAAAAACAAUACGUUGUGAAUGAGUGAAGGAGUGACUCCCUUGUAAGAAGAAAAGACCUUCAGCAAAACCAGGAUCAGGGACAGCAGCCAUCUGCCUCGACUGGUUCAGCAGGUUGUCUGGUUUGAUGUCUCUGUGGAUGAAGCCCAGCUGGUGGAUGGAGUCGAUGGCCAGAACCGUCUCUGCGAUGUAGAACUGCGUGGCUUCUUCAGACAGAGUGUCCUUCUUCAUCAGCAGCGUCAUCAUGUCGCCUGGCAACAAGUGUUGGUUCAGACUGCCGACUCUAAAACAAAAGCAAACAAUGAGGACGGACAAACAUCCUGGAAAUGUACUUGUCAGCUACAGAGACACUGGAUGGCGAUUAUAAGGAGAAUGAAGAAGCCCAUCAUUCAUUUACAAGGACACUACAUCACAUUAGAGCUGUAUUUAAUCCAGAAGAAACAGCUUGAAAUUUAAACAUAUUUCUGCGACCGUACAUUUGAGAAGUAUUUUCUCUACAAGGCCACAUAUUGUCAAAUUGAAAGUGAUGUGUGGCCCUCGAGUGGGAGGAAUAAAAACCACACAGAGCGGAAGAAGCACUCACAUUCUAGUGAGGUGGAGGCCACAAGUGGUAGUAGGUUGUCUGAAUAGAAAACAAACACCAAUGAUGACGUAAAAGAACGCAAUGAAGCACUAAAAGUUUCAUUUUUAUUCCUUUUAAACUUUCCAUUUGUUGGGUUUCUCUGUUUAAAAUGUGUAAGGUUUACUAUGUGAAGCGCUAUGAGAUGACAUGUUGUGAGAUGACAUUCAAGAGUUUGGGGUCACUUAGAAAUGUCCUUAUUUUUUAAAGAGAAGCAGUUUUUUUCAUUGAAGGUAACAUUAAAUGAAUCAGAAAUCCAGUCUAAACAUUGUUGAUGUGGUAAAUGACUAUUCUAGCUGGAAACAGCUGAUUUUUAAUGGAAUAUCUCCAUAGGGGUACAGAGGAACAUUUCCAGCAACCAUCACUCCUGUGUUCUAAUGCUACAUUGUGUUAGCUAAUGGUGUUGAAAGGUUGAUUGAUGAUUAGAAAACCCUUGUGCAGUUAUGUUAGGACAUGAAUAAAAGUGUGAGUUUUCAUGGAAAACAUGAAAUUGUCUGGGUGACCCCAAACUUUUGAACGGUAGCGUAAAUAAAAGUGAAUUGAACUGAAAACUAAUAGAAUAUCAGAAAGCUCAGACUGUGAACGUAUUAUGUAAGAGGGGCCAAGAAUGAGGGUGGAUGUGUAUAUCAUCAAAACAUUUCAGCAGUACGCCAUCAGAAAGGUAUGAAUAGGCUUGAUUGGCUCACAAAGAGAUAAAACAGCGCUGCAGUCCAGAGAUAGCAGCCAUGUUUCGUCUAGUCACCGGGCCUUUUCCCGUUUUGGCCCCAACAAUCCCACAACAACAAGACACUUCCUGACUCCUGACUUCUGAGGAAAAAAAAUCUCUGAAUAAUUGCUGCAUGCUGCUUAGUUUGGGAGGAAAACAGGGACACUGGCUAACCAGGGGUAUUGAGUUACUGAGGUGUGUGCUGAUUUCCCUGCAUACAGCACAGGUAGGAAGCUGAGCUCACUAAUAAAAACUGAACAAACACAAAGCAGCACAAGCAGACUGUUGGAGUUCUGGUGCUCUCAUGUGAUGUUGCUUACUAAGACCCUCAGUGUGCUGUGCAUGAAAAUGCACCUCACAACGCUAAGCUAACAGGCGCACAGCUUAACCAGGUACUUGUGUCCUUUUUGAUUAAAAACUGCUAAUUAAGGUCACUCAGCUUGUGCAGAAUGCUGUGUGGUGAACUGCUGUACUAAUGUAGUUGUAGGACAUUUCCUCUGUCACUUCAGAUUCUUCUCCAGUCACUGACUACCUUGAUAAUCCUGUGUAGUACCUCACACUGGGGCUGGACUAAAAAGAAAAUGUACAAAUUAAAAAUGUUAUAGAUAGGCACUGCAAGCUGCAUACUUUUCCAAAGAAAUGUCAGUGAAAUGUCAAUAUGAGUUGUCUUUGGGAGUGAAUGAAAAUGCAUGGAGCGGUAUGGAAUACUGCUAUUCACACAUGUAGCCUGAAUCUGAUAAUUCUAACCAUAAAUUUCUAUUUUACUCACAUUUUCCCAAAUACAUACAUUAAAUAUUCUUAAUACUGUACAGUAAGGCUUCCUUUGCUAAACAGUGAUGAGCAUAAUUUGUUGUUUAGCUGGAAAGAAUGUUUGUAAGGCUAUUAUUAUCAUUAUGAAGCUGAUGAAAUGGGCCUUUAUGUAACAGACAUUUUAACAUCACUGUUGUCAUAGUAGGAAGAGCACCAGAGUUACUGAUAAACCAGCAUUGCAUAGUAACAGGGCCAUGUUCCUUGAAAGUGGCUCAACUAAAUCAGGCUAAAAUCCAUCCAUCCAUUAUCUAUACACCGCUUAAUCCUCAUUAGGGUCAUGGGGGGCUGGAGUCUAUCCCAGCUGACUUAGGGUGAAGGCAAGGGACACCUGGACAGGUCACCAGUCUAUCACAGGGCUACACAUAGAGGCAAACAAUCACACUCACAUUCACACCUACAGACAGUUUAGAAUCACCAAUUAACCUCAGCAUGUUUUUGGACUGUGGGAGGAAGCUGGAGAAACCCACACAUUCACAGGGAGAACAUGCAAACUCCAUGCAGAAAGAUCCCGGGAAGGCCAGGACGCGAACUGGGGAUCUUUGAGCUGCAAAGUGCUAACCACCAAUCCACUGUGCAUAUUAGGCAAAAAUAAUCCUGUUAAGUGUCAUCUAUUCUACUCAGUUCUUUCAAAGUGGUUUGAUCAAUGAGUUGUUAAUCCUUGACCAUUCUGAUUGAGUUAUACAUACACUUUUAGCCACCUUUUAAAAGCAAACAACUCAAGUCAAAACAGGAACAAUCUAAUCUAGAUAACCAAAUUAGCAACAUUUAGCAACAUAUAAAAAAGCAGCUACGUUCCGCAAACAUGCUUUUCCUGCUGAGACUGUCUCUGGAUCUGUUCCGUAGAAAGGCCUGGCAGUAACAGCUGUAGCAUCGCCCUCAGUGAGUUUUAUUUUCUCACCAAGGUGGAAAACGAAGCAUCAUUCAAACAGUUGCAUCACAGCUGAGACAGCCAGGCCUUAAACUCUGCCUUAAGGGAUUGAGUUUGGCAAGAUGUUAACCAGAUCCACCUGACGGCUAAACAAAUAUGGCUGCAACACUCAGGCACUUAAAAGGAAAUCACUACAAAAGCAGCUUCACUAUUUAGAAAACGAGUCCAGAAAUGACUUCAUUAAAGCAUGUGCUACCAAAGACAAGUUUUAAAGAAAUGUACUAGAACUGUACUGCACAAAAUAUACAUUAUAGUCCCAUAAAAUAUAUUAAUGUCCUUCUAAUACUUGAAAGGAAGUGUUAACGGUACUAAGCCAUGCAGGUUGUUUGGGUUUAAUGUGCCAGGCUUUCAUAUAGUGAAACAUACACCCCAAAAUUAAAGAUAACACAUUCUUAUGAAGUAUUUUUUAAAGACACGGUGUCCCACAUACUCCUACUACAACUGUAUAAUCAACAGUUCUCAAAGAAGUUUCAACCACAGAUAAGAAACUACAUCCCUAAUGAAAAGAGCUGAGAUCUGUUGAUUAUUAUGUAGUUAUUAUGUGUCAUAAGUUAUAAUAGUCAACAACCAACAACAGCUAACUUACAAUAAAAUAUUGCUCCUGUUGAAACUCUGGAAUUCACAGUCUGACCUGGCUAGUAAUGAGCUGAGAGUUCAAAUAUUUGGGUUUCACUUCAAUUUCUGGCAGAAGUUCCAGAGUGAAACUUUUUUUUUUAUCCUUAAAAGGUUGAUUUCUCCAUCUGGUGUGAAAUUCUCCAGUUAGUGAGUCCCACACAGACACACUCCACCCUUUAAGUACUGUAAGUGACUGCACAGGAAACCCUUUCCGUCCUGAAUGAAAGGACUCAGUCAUGACGCCCGGGAGGGGAAAGGGAUGCAUACACAUGUGCUCUUAUACACGUUCUACAAACACACACACACACACUGAAAUCCAAACACUAAAAUAACAUAUAUUGGCUUAAGCCAGGGGUGUCAAACAUGUGGCCCGCGGGCGAAAACCGUCCCUCCAGAGUGUCCAAUCCGACCCACAGGACGACUUUGUAAAGUGUAAAAAUUACAGAGAAGACAUUAACUGCAAAUUUUAAAUUUGUAAAACUAUAAAUUUAAAAUAAUCUCUAGACCCCAACAAGUUGUUUUGUUCAUAAUGAUCAAAAGGAAUCAUAAUGUUCCUCUAUUUUAAUGUUUGCUGAUUUUAUAUGUAAAGUGUCUGAGUGUUUUGAAAAGCGCUAUACAAAUAAAAUGUAUUAUUAUUAUUAUAAUUAUAAAGUUAAAUACUAGAUUGUUCAUUGUUCUUUUGUCAUUUUGUGCCUCUUUUUGUAAUAUUUUGUCUUGUUUUUUUGUCUGACUUUUGUCUUUUGUCUCAUGUUUUUGUCCUUUUGUUUCUCGUUUGUCUUUUUCUGUUUCCCUUUUGUCUUGUUUUUGUUGUUUUGUGUAUUUUUU
Long non-coding RNA from Amphiprion ocellaris (clown anemonefish), 4833 nucleotides. RefSeq lists it as uncharacterized. The record is from RefSeq and is a predicted model, not a curated record. The transcript has 5 exons. NCBI's taxonomy places the organism in Eukaryota, Metazoa, Chordata, Actinopteri, Pomacentridae.